GGAGGGUGCGAGCGUUGUCCGGAUUUACUGGGCGUAAAGCGCACGUAGGCGGUUUUGUAAGUCACCUGUGAAAUCCCGGGGCUCAACUCCGGGGCUGCAGGUGAUACUGCAGAACUAGAGCUCGGUAGAGGCAAGUGGAAUUCCCGGUGUAGCGGUGGAAUGCGUAGAUAUCGGGAAGAACACCAGUGGCGAAGGCGGCUUGCUGGGCCGAUGCUGACGCUGAGGUGCGAAAGCGUGGGGGGAGCAAACAGGAUUAGAUACCCUGGUAGUCCACGCCGUAAACGAUGGGUACUAGGCGUCGGGGGGGAGCGACCCCCCUUCGGUGCCGUCGCUAACGCACUAAGUACCCCGCCUGGGGGAGUACGGCCGCAAGGCUG
RNAcentral lists this ribosomal RNA (377 nucleotides) under uncultured organism. RNAcentral describes it as "partial 16S ribosomal RNA". It matches the Rfam family "Bacterial small subunit ribosomal RNA", at positions 527 to 896 of the family's 1533-position model. The record is from RNAcentral.